GAUUUUUAUGGAGUUUGGUGUUAUAAUCGGUUCAGCAAUAGGAGCUGGGGAAGGCGGUGAAAAUCCGUCACGAUCUCGUCACUGUGAUGAAAUAAUUAUUUCUCAGUCAGGAUACCAGCUUUUGUUAAGAAGAUUUU
Molecule: non-coding RNA, 137 nt
Filed under: Lachnospiraceae bacterium
Lineage: Bacteria; Bacillati; Bacillota; Clostridia; Lachnospirales; Lachnospiraceae
Source: RNAcentral